Molecule: long non-coding RNA, 704 nt
Organism: Cyanistes caeruleus (blue tit)
Lineage: Eukaryota; Metazoa; Chordata; Aves; Passeriformes; Paridae
Source: RefSeq, a predicted model, not a curated record
CUGCCACAGAGCCACCGGAGCUCGCGGGGAGCUCCACAGGCCGGCGCCUGCCAUCGACACAGAGCCACAGGCAUGGAGGUAAACUUUUCUUCAUGUGGUCAAGCUGGUGUCUUGAGCAAAAGCAAGAGGAAAAUGUGUGUAGCGACCAAUGCCCAAGGAUAGCCUAGGGUUUGCUCAUGGCCUGCAGUGCUAGGGAGAGCUCUCCCAUCCCUUCAGUGCUUUUUCCUGGUUUUAUGACUGCAAUUCAGACAUCUCCUACAAACAGUAUCACUAAAAGGGCAUCUUCCCUGACUCCUUCAGCUUACCUGUAUUUUUGGUACCUUUGGGACAGCACCACUGAGUCAGCAUUUUGAUUAUGGUUGAUCUUCUGGCCGUAACCUCAAUGUGACCAUUGGCACUGCAGCUGUCAUUGUGUGCUAUUUCCACCCCCCUGUAUUUGUACUGCAGGAAAAAUGUGCAGAAAGGAGUGAUUUGGGAAAUCAUCUGGAUGGGAAAGGUAGCCCCGAACACAUUUAUUUCAGAAAUGUGAAAUGUGCUUUGCCCUAGAGCUCCAUGUCCCAACAGUCCUGCAAACUUGGGAGAACAAGAAUCCUCUCUUCUUUGCCAUUUCACCCAAUCUCCAGUUAAUUUGAUCUCUAUCUGAGACCACCAGGGAGAGAACAUCUAUUAAACAAUAAAAUAGACCGAUUGUGAUGUAUUUUCAA